AAGCGCAGGCCGGCAUGGGACGGGGCGGUGCUCAGAGGAAGGGGUUGGUGCCGGUCUGCGGGGGCGGGGGCCGCGGCCCGGCUGAGCUCGGCGUGGGCAGCAGCGGCUGCGGCAGGCCAGCGGGGGGCGGUGCGAAGGCUCCGGCCUGCGGGAAGACGCUAACCGAGGCGGGGAGGGUCAAGCCUGCUGGCACGCUGCUGAGCGGGAGGGGCAGAGAGGCGCUGUAGGUCAUGGAGCCCAGGGGCGCCCCCACAGGCCCGCCUGCCAGGCCCGUCGCCGGCGACCCGGUGCGCAUCUGGUUUAGCGUCGGCCUGCCCGGCUCGCCUGCGCCGAACGGGUUGGUGGGGGACGGAGCGCUGAGACCUGCAGAGAGUGCAGAGAGUGGCUUCGAGUGACCCGGGGUUCAGAGCCCUACACUGGGAGGUCUUGGAAGUUGGGAAGAAGAGUGGGCUCCUCCAGCCGAGGCUAGGCUCUGAAAGCAGGAGCCCCUGGGUUGAGGGACAAGGGGAUGUCUUACCUGUCAGGAAGGGGUUCCGGGUCUUUGCAGCCUGGGGUGCCUUGACCAACGAGUCAAGGUUGACCAAGGAGGAAGCUGAGGGGCCCAGAAAUGACUCGGGAGUCCGGCAAGCUUGGGCCUCUUUGCUUGGCUGGGUUAGUGCUUCCCCUAGUAUACCCAGGUCCAGGGCAUCUGGCUCCUUCGUGCCAUUUUGCUUGGAACUGGGGCUGGGGUCUCCAAACAGGUCCAGCUCUGGAAUAGAAAUGCUAGAGCUCAUUGGUGGGGAAAGGGAUUGGCGCCUGACAUUGGAGGAAGAGGACAGAGGCUGCUCGGGGUGGGCCCCUCCUUCCCCAGAGCCUCACCAUCCCCUUGCCCUGCUCACCCGCAGGGCUGCUGGGCUUCCCAGAGGGCAGGGCCUGCUCCAGCCCCUCCUUGGUCUCUGUGGAUUCUGGAGGUUUGGCAAAUGGGUCAAAGGCCGAGGCACCACCUCGGAAGAGAGAGAGGAAGAGGAGACGGGUUGACAAAAAGGGCAGGUGUUGGUCUAACCCCUUUCCAGAGAAGCUGCCCUCCUAACACAGACAGUACCUGCUGCCCCUUGGCCCUGCCUGGAAGUCCCCCAGCCCCUCACUCACACUCUCUGGCCCUCUUCUUACCAGGUGUGUCGGAGGUCUCCAGGGAGGCUCCCCAAGGGUCAGCCCCAGUGCUGGGGAGUUUGUGGUGGGGAGAGUUCAGUGCCCAGGGGUCUGUGGUGGGGGGCCCAGCAGGCAGCACUGGGGUCCUGCCCCAGGGCUCAGAGGAGGAGAGCAUGGGAGUCAGAUCCCAGGGCUGGCUUCGGGACAGGAUGGUUCCUGAGGGGAUCGGAGACCAGGGGUCUGCAGAAGGCCCCCAGGAGGAGCCACUGGCCUCUGUGUUCGGCCUAAAACCUGAAAUGGGAACAGCAUAGACGUGAUCCCAGGCCCACCCUUAUCCCUCGCCCAGGGACCUUCCCAGUUACCCAGCCCAAGUUGGGAGGCAGAAGAUCCAUGUCACAGAUGGGCUGCCGCCUCAGGACCACCCAGCAGGCUGGAGUCCCUAUUUGGCAAGUGACCCCAGGAGCUGGGACCUGCAGGUGUGGGCGACUCAGGCCACCUUCCCAGGCGUGCUGAGCAAGUGAGUGCAGCGAGAGAACAUUUGCUGCGUUUCCUAGGAGCUGGGCCCUUCAGACAGUCUCCAUAGCCCUCACUACGAAAGCCUGUCCCACAGGCGGCGGAGGCUCAAGGUGAUACCUAUUCAUGAUCCCUCACCUCUGCACAGUGCUUUACAGUUUAUAAUGUUUCUUCAUCUACAGAGUACCUGAUUUGCAUAACAACCCUGUGAGGCUCUCUGUCCCACCGAUGGUGGACCACGGCCCCUGCACCAUUGGCCAUGGGGGAGCCAUCACCCCGCCAGGAUCUCACCUCCUGCAGAAGGCACAGAAAGAGUUAGGAGCAUGAGCAGCCCAGGCGGGAAUCCGGGGACCUGUGCACCCAAGGCUGGAGUCGAGAGAGUGCAGGGUGGGAGGCAGCUGAGAGGUUAGGAGCAGCAGGGCCACCGGGUACAGUGAGAGGAGCCUGUCAGUGCCCUGAAGCACCUCCACCAGCAGCGGCAACAGCACCGGCAGCCCAGCGGGCUCGGCCCACUACCUUCUCGUGCUCCUGCCAGCUCAGGCGCAGAGCCAGCUGCAGCUGCAGGUCCUCGUCCCUGUGGGAGGCUGGGGGGACAGGCUGCGGAGGAAGAGAGGGGUAAACUUGGCCCUGUACCCCCACCUUGGGACCAGAAGGGCAGUAUAGGCCUGCCUGGGUCAUGGGGAUGGAGAGACAAAUGCCCACCCUCAGUGUGCAUGGGCCGUUUGCCCCUCAGUCAGCAGGGUGGGUGUGGCCUUCUCCCUGCCUGCAUCUGAAAUGCAGUUUAAAGAUCAAGAAGACUGAUCUUUCGCUUCUGAA
This is a long non-coding RNA of Pongo pygmaeus (Bornean orangutan), 2457 nucleotides long. RefSeq lists it as uncharacterized. The record is from RefSeq and is a predicted model, not a curated record. Lineage: Eukaryota; Metazoa; Chordata; Mammalia; Primates; Hominidae. The transcript has 3 exons.